RNAcentral lists this ribosomal RNA (437 nucleotides) under uncultured bacterium. RNAcentral's name for it is "bacterial SSU rRNA". It matches the Rfam family "Bacterial small subunit ribosomal RNA", at positions 343 to 797 of the family's 1533-position model. The record is from RNAcentral.
GGGAGGCAGCAGUGGGGAAUAUUGGACAAUGGGCGAAAGCCUGAUCCAGCAAUGCCGCGUGAGUGAUGAAGGCCUUAGGGUUGUAAAGCUCUUUUACCCGGGAUGAUAAUGACAGUACCGGGAGAAUAAGCCCCGGCUAACUCCGUGCCAGCAGCCGCGGUAAUACGGAGGGGGCUAGCGUUAUUCGGAAUUACUGGGCGUAAAGCGCACGUAGGCGGCUAUUCAAGUCAGAGGUGAAAGCCCAGAGCUCAACUCCGGAACUGCCUUUGAAACUAGAUAGCUUGAACAUCGGAGAGGUAAGUGGAAUUCCGAGUGUAGAGGUGAAAUUCGUAGAUAUUCGGAAGAACACCAGUGGCGAAGGCGGCUUACUGGACGAUUGUUGACGCUGAGGUGCGAAAGCGUGGGGAGCAAACAGGAUUAGAAACCCUGGUAGUCCC